Long non-coding RNA from Bactrocera neohumeralis, 527 nucleotides. RefSeq lists it as uncharacterized. The record is from RefSeq and is a predicted model, not a curated record. NCBI's taxonomy places the organism in Eukaryota, Metazoa, Arthropoda, Insecta, Diptera, Tephritidae. The transcript is spliced from 3 exons.
CCUCGCAUGAGGACAAUUUGGCUGACCCUGAAAAGGCUUUGAGCAAGCGUGUGACACUUAAAGAAUUUAUGAGUGUGUUAACGCAUAAAGAAUCCAAUUACGCUGCAGACAUUAAGAAGAUCCUCAAGGAAUUAAUCGCCAAAGAAGUUCAACUUAAUUAUAGUGGCGUAGGCCGUGUUGUCAAAGGAAAAGGAAAAAAAAAUUUCAGUGCAACAGCGACUUUUGCGUGUAUGAGAGAUUUCAUUGAGACAAAAUAUAAAGACUCUAAUCAACCAUUGAAGAUUAUUACGAUUACAAGUGAUUGGCUAGCAGGUGCUGGCGACAGAGAUGGAGGAUGCAUACAGCGUAAAAAGGAAGUUGGUGCAGUUUAACUGAAAAAAGAGCUUAGAGGGAUCGAACCAAAACUCACCAGUCAGUGAAAACUUAAUUUUGCGAAUUUACUGUUUUUCGUGUUAAAAAAAAAGGAGUUAAUUUUUAACGUUAAUUUUUUUGUUCAAUAUUAUCAAGGGGUUUGUCCAGUUACGACA